This 427-nucleotide ribosomal RNA is filed under the name uncultured bacterium. RNAcentral's name for it is "partial 16S ribosomal RNA". It matches the Rfam family "Bacterial small subunit ribosomal RNA", at positions 354 to 796 of the family's 1533-position model. The record is from RNAcentral.
GUGAGGAAUCUUCCACAAUGGGCGAAAGCCUGAUGGAGCAACGCCGCGUGAGGGAUGAAGGUCUUCGGAUUGUAAACUUCUUUUAUGAGUGAAGAAUAUGACGGUAACUCAUGAAUAAGCACCGGCUAACUACGUGCCAGCAGCCGCGGUCAUACGUAGGGUGCAAGCAUUAUCCGGAGUGACUGGGCGUAAAGAGUUGCGUAGGCGGUUAUGUAAGCGAAUAGUGAAACCUGGUGGCUCAACCACACAGACUAUUAUUCGAACUGCAUAACUCGAGAAUGGUAGAGGUAACUGGAAUUUCUUGUGUAGGAGUGAAAUCCGUAGAUAUAAGAAGGAACACCAAUGGCGUAGGCAGGUUACUGGGCCAUUUCUGACGCUAAGGCACGAAAGCGUGGGGAGCGAACCGGAUUAGAAACCCCUGUAGUCC